This 486-nucleotide ribosomal RNA is filed under the name uncultured bacterium. Its description in RNAcentral is "partial 16S ribosomal RNA". It matches the Rfam family "Bacterial small subunit ribosomal RNA", at positions 28 to 523 of the family's 1533-position model. The record is from RNAcentral.
GAUGAACGCUGGCGGCGUGCUUAACACAUGCAAGUCGAACGGAAAGGCCCUAGCUUGCUGGGGUACUCGAGUGGCGAACGGGUGAGUAACACGUGGGUGAUCUGCCCUGCACUUUGGGAUAAGCUUGGGAAACUGGGUCUAAUACCGAAUAUGACCACUUCUGGGAUGUUGUGGUGGAAAGCUUUUGCGGUGUGGGAUGAGCCUGGGGCCUAUCAGCUUGUUGGUGGGGUAAUGGCCUACCAAGGCGGCGACGGGUAUCCGGCCUGAGAGGGUGUACGGACACAUUGGGACUGAGAUACGGCCCAGACUCCUACGGGAGGCAGCAGUGGGGAAUAUUGCACAAUGGGCGCAAGCCUGAUGCAGCGACGCCGCGUGGGGGAUGAAGGCCUUCGGGUUGUAAACUCCUUUCGCUAUCGACGAAGCCACUUGUGGUGACGGUAGGUAGAUAAGAAGCACCGGCUAACUACGUGCCAGCAGCCGCGGUAA